Molecule: ribosomal RNA, 250 nt
Filed under: uncultured bacterium
Lineage: Bacteria
Description: partial 16S ribosomal RNA
Rfam family: Bacterial small subunit ribosomal RNA
Source: RNAcentral
UACGUAGGGUGCGAGCGUUAAUCGGAAUUACUGGGCGUAAAGCGUGCGUAGGCGGUUGCACAAGCUUGAUGUGAAAGCCCCGGGCUCAACCUGGGAAUGGCAUUGAGGACUGUGUGGCUUGAGUGCGGCAGAGGGAGGUGGAAUUCCAGGUGUAGCAGUGAAAUGCGUAGAGAUCUGGAGGAACACCGAUGGCGAAGGCAGCCUCCUGGGCCGACACUGACGCUGAGGGCACGAAAGCGUGGGGAGCAAA